GUCUCUCAGACACCGAAGUCGGACCCUGAGAGAACGGCAUCACAGGUCCGACACGGGGGAACCACUUAUGGCCGAAAGGCCUUGGGGUGAAGCCUGAAUCUUCAGGCCGGGCUCUCCUGCCCGAAUCCGACAGCUGACCUCGCAGGUAAGAAGGAGAUGCAUA
RNAcentral lists this small RNA (163 nucleotides) under Schaalia cardiffensis. RNAcentral describes it as "Actinomyces cardiffensis c-di-AMP sequence". It matches the Rfam family "c-di-AMP riboswitch aptamer (ydaO/yuaA leader)". From Rfam's summary of the family: This family represents a conserved RNA structure found upstream of the ydaO and yuaA genes in Bacillus subtilis and related genes in other bacteria. The ydaO/yuaA element is thought to act as a genetic "off" switch for the ydaO and yuaA genes in its native state. Lineage: Bacteria; Bacillati; Actinomycetota; Actinomycetes; Actinomycetales; Actinomycetaceae. RNAcentral also lists the same sequence under 1 other name. The record is from RNAcentral.